This 253-nucleotide ribosomal RNA is filed under the name uncultured bacterium. Its description in RNAcentral is "partial 16S ribosomal RNA". It matches the Rfam family "Bacterial small subunit ribosomal RNA", at positions 524 to 776 of the family's 1533-position model. The record is from RNAcentral.
UACAGAGGGGGCAAGCGUUAUUCGGAAUUAUUGGGCGUAAAGGGCGCGUAGGCGGCCUGGCAAGUGGAAGGUGAAAUCCCUCGGCUUAACCGAGGAACUGCCUCCCAAACUGCUUGGCUCGAGACCAGGAGAGGUGAGUGGAAUUCCCAGUGUAGCGGUGAAAUGCGUAGAUAUUGGGAGGAACACCAGUGGCGAAGGCGGCUCACUGGACUGGUACUGACGCUGAGGCGCGAAAGCGUGGGGAGCAAACAGG